This 1995-nucleotide ribosomal RNA is filed under the name Enterococcus faecium. RNAcentral describes it as "bacterial LSU rRNA". It matches the Rfam family "Bacterial large subunit ribosomal RNA", at positions 965 to 2925 of the family's 2925-position model. Lineage: Bacteria; Bacillati; Bacillota; Bacilli; Lactobacillales; Enterococcaceae. The record is from RNAcentral.
UAUGAGUACUAUCCGGGAGACAGACUGCGGGUGCUAACGUCCGUAGUCAAGAGGAAAACAAUCCAGACCGCCAGCUAAGGCCCCAAAAUCAUAGUUAAGUGGGAAACGAUGUGGGAAGGCAUAGACAGCUAGGAGGUUGGCUUAGAAGCAGCCACCCUUUAAAGAAAGCGUAAUAGCUCACUAGUCGAGUCGGCCUGCGCGGAAGAUGUAACGGGGCUAAAACUAUGUGCCGAAGCUGCGGAUGUAACUUUAAGUUACGUGGUAGGGGAGCGUUCUGUAAGCCGAUGAAGGUGGAUUGAGAAGUCUGCUGGAGGUAUCAGAAGUGCGAAUGCUGACGUGAGUAACGACAAAACGGGUGAAAAACCCGUUCGCCGAAAGACCAAGGGUUCCAGUCCAACGUUAAUCGGGGCUGGGUGAGUCGACCCCUAAGGCGAGGCCGAAAGGCGUAGUCGAUGGGAAAUUGGUUAAUAUUCCAAUACUUCUGUGUAAUGCGAUGAGAGGACGGAGAAGGUUAGGUCAGCCUGGCGUUGGUUGUCCAGGUGGAAGACAGUAGGCAUGCAUCUUAGGCAAAUCCGGGGUGCUCUAUGCUGAGAGUCGAUAGCAAGCUAGUUUACUAGCGAAGUGGCUGAUACCAUACUUCCAAGAAAAGUCUCUAAGCUACAGUUACACAGGAAUCGUACCCGAAACCGACACAGGUGGUCAGGUCGAGUAGACCAAGGCGCUUGAGAGAACUCUGCUGAAGGAACUAGGCAAAAUGGUACCGUAACUUCGGGAGAAGGUACGCUGUUGAUGGUGAUGGGACUUGCUCCCUGAGCGAUUGACAGCCGCAGAAACCAGGCCGCUGCAACUGUUUAUUAAAAACAUAGCACUCUGCAAACACGAAAGUGGACGUAUAGGGUGUGAUGCCUGCCCGGUGCUGGAAGGUUAAUUGAUGGGGUUAGCGUAAGCGAAGCUCUUGAUCGAAGCCCCAGUAAACGGCGGCCGUAACUAUAACGGUCCUAAGGUAGCGAAAUUCCUUGUCGGGUAAGUUCCGACCUGCACGAAUGGCAUAAUGAUGGCGGCGCUGUCUCCAGCAGAGGCUCAGUGAAAUCGAAUUCGCCGUGAAGAUGCGGUGUACCCGCGGCUAGACGGAAAGACCCCGUGAACCUUUACUGCAGCUUGACAUUGAACUUUGACCUUACUUGUGUAGGAUAGGUGGGAGGCUAUGAAGAUGGGACGCCAGUUCCAUUGGAGCCAUCCUUGAAAUACCACCCUGGUAAUGUUGAGGUUCUAACUCUGCCCCGUAAUCCGGGGCGAGGACCAUGUCUGGUGGGUAGUUUGACUGGGGCGGUCUCCUCCUAAAGAGUAACGGAGGAGUACGAAGGUGCGCUCAGCGUGGUCGGAAAUCACGCGUAGAGUAUAAAGGCAAAAGCGCGCUUAACUGCGAGACCCACAAGUCGAGCAGGUACGAAAGUAGGUCUUAGUGAUCCGGUGGUUCUGUAUGGAAGGGCCAUCGCUCAACGGAUAAAAGGUACUCUGGGGAUAACAGGCUGAUACCGCCCAAGAGUUCAUAUCGACGGCGGUGUUUGGCACCUCGAUGUCGGCUCAUCUCAUCCUGGGGCUGAAGCAGGUCCCAAGGGUAUGGCUGUUCGCCAUUUAAAGAGGUACGCGAGCUGGGUUUAGAACGUCGUGAGACAGUUCGGUCCCUAUCUACCGUGGGCGCUGGAAAUUUGAGAGGAUCUGCUCCUAGUACGAGAGGACCAGAGUGGACGAACCUCUGGUGUACCGGUUGUGACGCCAGUCGCAUCGCCGGGUAGCUAUGUUCGGAAGGGAUAACCGCUGAAAGCAUCUAAGCGGGAAGCCUACCUCAAGAUAAGAUUUCCCUAGGAAUUUAUUCCUCUAAAGAGCCGUUCAAGACUAGGACGUUGAUAGGUUGGAUGUGGAAGCAUAGUGAUAUGUGAAGCUGACCAAUACUAAUUGCUCGUGAGGCUUGACUAUACAACACCCAAACAGUUG